This is a non-coding RNA of Zonotrichia albicollis (white-throated sparrow), 8838 nucleotides long. NCBI's taxonomy places the organism in Eukaryota, Metazoa, Chordata, Aves, Passeriformes, Passerellidae. The record is from RefSeq and is a predicted model, not a curated record.
AUGUAAAACAGUUCAUGCCUAACAUCACCAGAAAGCCUCCACUUGUAGUAUUUGGUUCUCUCGCGUUUCGCGUGGGAACGUUCAGGAAAUACACCGAGGGGUUCUUUCUCUGUAAACCAGCAUGGCUUUAUUAGCGAUGUGUGUUUGUGGUUUGCCCCACGGAGGCGGCCACACGCUGUAUGUGCGCGCCGGGGCAGGACCCGGCGCUUCCCUUCUCCCCGUGCCCGCCACGAUCCGGGGUAAGCAGAGGCGGGAGCGGUGAUGGAGAGAAGGGCUCCGGAGCACCCUCGGGAGCAUCACGUCGGCCGAGAGCCGGGGCGGGCCCACCCGGGGCGCCGGGCACGGCCCGCGGGGUGCGGGACAGCGCGAGCGGGCGGUGCGGGGCGUGCGGGCCCCCCCGGCGCCGCAGCUGCGCCCGUCUGUCAGCGCCGCCCCCCGGGCGGGGCCGCCCCGCGCUGCCCCUUUAAGGCAGCGCAGCCCCGCGCGCAUUCCAGUGGCCGCGUCGCCGUUCCGGGAAGCGGUGGCGUCACCACGCCAUCCCUCCCUCGCUGCCUCUCUCGCUCGGUGCGGCGGGGCGGGCCCGGCAACAAAGGCGCGAUAUAAAUAGAAGGGUCCCGAGCUGGCUCAGGAGGUGGCGGAAUUGGUCUCCAGGUCUGUUCAGAAGUGCACACAGAUGGAGCAGCCGCUGGAUGUCCCUCUUGCUCCGCUUUCCUGCACAAGGAGCGCCUUCCAGAGGGACGAGCCUGCAGCUGGGAGAGACAAACGGGGCAGUGUGGGAGCAGCUGCUCGCUGCUGCCCAGCUGCCUGCGAUGGUGUGACACAACUCCCAGCGCAAGGGAUGGUGAGGUGUCAGCAAGACUGACAGAUGAGAAAUGUGUUUUUCUUCCAUUACAAGAGCACUUUUUCCCCCACCCGUUCUUCUCAGGUUUGCUCUGUGCCACUCUGCUAAACCUGCUGCCAAUAACUGAAGACUAUUUGAAAAAACAAGUUAGAAUUUAUAAUGCCUUUCUCAACAGUUACCAUAUGUGAGCAAGUACUCUGUUAGGCUGGAUGGAAGAAAUUCUCCAGACAGGAUAAGAAUUUGCUAUUCACAGACUUCCUCCUUUGGCUUCUGUGGUGUAAAGCUACCUGUACCUCCUGCUACAUGGAAAAAAUUGCAAAAUAAUGAAAAUUCAAGAAGCCUGGAUUUAUUUGAAGUAACACCAGCAGAGAUCUGGAUGAUUCCAUUAAAAGCACUGCAGUCAUGCUGUUUCUAAAAGGAUAUCUAAAGGUGAGACAUCUGCAGGGCCUAGACAGUAAUCUUUGUCACAUUUUUAAGUGGGGAUCAGAUCCUUGCACAUACUUUCCUUGACUUUCAUGGUUAUUUAAAUUUAUACCAACUUAAUAUGUGGUUCAGUGAUUUCCAUCCUCCAAAAGGAAUGAGCUGAAAUAACAGAGUAGGUUUCCUCAGAUAACUGCAUGUUGGCAUGAUCCAUUUUGUGGUGUUAUUCUGAGUAUAAAAAGAUAAAGUAAAUCUAAACUAUUUUUAGGUGCAAUGAGUCAGUCUAAAUGAGUUGAUGGAGAAAGAUAAAAAUGAAAGGACAGUCCAGUUAGAGGAAGUUAUGGAGAGUAAUGCUUUUAUAUAAACAUUCUACAGAAAUUAUUUGGCUUUCCAAACUCUGUCUAUAAAUCAAGAAGUGCUUUCCAGUAGCUCAUGGAGACCGCUCAGGUCUAGCUGUCUACUUUUAUUUCAAUUUCAUUGAAAACAGAUUUCUUAUAUACAUAUUUAAAGUAGAUUUUUUAAAGUAUUUUUGUAAAUAAUUAAUGCAGGUAUCCCAGUGAUUAUUAUGUGUCUACCAGCAGUGUGCACAAUGAAAAAUACAAGUGGCCAGCAGAUUCCAAGCUGUGAAGAAAACAUAUUCAGUGAGAUGAUUUUUCAGCUAGUACCAGGAAAAACCCUGAUUUAUUUCUGUUGUUCUUAAAUCAAACAGCCUAGUGGAGGGUUUUUUUAAGGGUAACAUAAACCAGAUACAUUUCAAAGACUUAGACUAGCUUGUGUUUCCACAGUACCAUGAGGAAUUUACACACACUGUCUCCAACAGGCCUUGCAACAAAAUGAGCUGCAGUAUUGUAGAAGAAUGGUUUGUAACUAUUUUCCUUUGUAUUAAAGCUUCCCGUAAAUACAUAUUGCUUGGAUCAGCAUGGGAUAAACCUCACUCACUUCAGCUGAAAGAUGAAGCAGCACUAAGUGAUACCUCUUUGGAGUGAGGAAAGUAAAGUUAGAGUUCCAUAAAGAAGCAUUCUUGAUGCUAUAGCCAUCUUGGGGUCCCACCAGCCCAAAUGUCCAGCCAACAUUACCUUCCUCAAGAGGCUGGAAGUCACAGCAGGGAUAAAAGUCACAAGGAAUUCGAGGAAAACACCAGCUUAUUUAACAGCUAGGGAGCCAUUAAGGAUGGCAAAGCUGUGGUGAAGCUGAGAACUGCACCCUCAUUUCUGUGUCCCAGGUCACCUCUUCACUGACUAAAGCCUUCUUUCACUUCCAGCCUUCUUUCUUACACUGCAAUGGGCAUCAUUUAAAGACAAAAUGGGAAAAACUGAUAAGUUAUGGUCUGAACAGCAGCAGUGUGAUUUUCCAUGAAUCCAGGCACCUGCAAGGUAUCAAAACCAAAGGCAUCAUAUUUUUGGAAAAUGAGACUGAGGUUGUCAAGCAAGGAGCCAGCAGUAUGAGCUGUUUAAUUCAGGCUGAUUUCCCCAGAACUGUAUCCAAGAGGAUGUCACACUUUUCUGUUCUCAAGUUCAACCUUAUCUCUGAGAGCAUCAGCAAGUUUCACCUCUUCUGAAAGAGCACUCUCCUGUGAUUUAUUUAUAAUCUCCUGCUGCUUCUUGUAAGUAGAGUUUCACUCCCCUUCCUUUGCUCUGCCUCACAUCAUUAUAUUGCACUGGUAGGCUGCUGCUUCACAUACAAACCUUUCCAGCUGCAAGACAUGCUAACCUCAAAGGAGACUACUCAGAGGAAUGGGAAGGAAUUUAGGGACAAUAAUAAUAUUUAAUGUGUAGAAUCAGAGUCUCAGCACAUACCAAACAUCCCUGCUAAGCUCAUGUUCCUAAAGUCCUUUCAAGUUCACUAAAAUUGAUAGGUUGGUCUUUACACAUUAAUACUGAGAGUUUUUCAGCUUUCCCUACAAGCUCAUUUCUGCCUAUCAUUUUUGUUGUGUCAGGGUGCUAUUUGUGACCUGGUCAGUUUAAGAAAUACAUGGAAUAUAACCUAUUUUAAAAGACUAUAAGAUUGCUGCUGCCUUUGUCUAAAUUGCUGGAUCUGUCUGUUUAUCAGGUGCACGUGUACCUUUGUCCUUGUGUAACAUGAAAAUACUUCAGAAAUGCCUUGAAGGUCCUACUGCCCUGUUCUUAAAAAGUCUUGCAUCUAUCUUAAAGUACAGAGCAUGGUGAAACAAUAAAUAAGGAAAAAUCCUUGAAAUGCCUGAUGCACUUCCAAGACAUGUUGCCUAAGAAUGUGAUCUCAAGUUAAACAUGGAAUCCCUUUGAUUACCACUUUUGCCUUCAGUAUACUUGGGUGUGCUGCACAGUUCAGAAUGAACACUUUGCUUUUUUUGUGUUCAUUUAUUUAUUCUUGUUAGUAAAGUUUUUAGGAGUUUUGCUCAAACUUGAAAAUUAAUAAAGGGAUAAAUGUAAUUAAUAAUUUUGAGUUUACCUGGGCUUUUAUCUGCAGUGUAAAAUAAAGGCUAUGGAGCCACAGCCCCCAACAAGGCAAAUAACCUUGCUAGGAUACUCUUGAUCUGCCAUGGCUAUUUUGAACCAGCUAUCAGUUUAAUCUAUAAAGUUACCCUCCAGACAGUGGCUUGCUUGGUAACUAGUUCUGUGUAUCCAACACAAAUGAUUUUAGAAUCCUGCAAAGCAGCACAGAACAAGGCACGAGGAAGUUUUCAGUCACCAUCUAAUUCUUAGGCCUGGCUUGAUUCAGUUCAUGUGUUUGACACUUUGUAUGCCACUAUCUGAGUUGUUGUAAUCUUUAAAGCCCCAGCAGAAGUGGAUUAAAAUUUUCACAAUGCAAGGGUUUAAAUUCAAAUCUUUUUCAAGGCUUUAUCUGCUGCCUUUGCACAGUAUGGGAAAACUUUCAGCAAAAUCUGGAAGGUAAAAUAUAGACCCUGGGACAUUGAUUUCUUUUCAUUUUUCAGACAGGUUUCUUUAAGUAGAGGGAAAAUUAGGUCAUAUUUUGAUUUCUCUUGGCUGGCUUAUCUCCAAGAUGGCCUGCACCCAAUUUCUUCUAAACUUUUCACUUCUCAGGAGGUAAUAUCUCAUGUCAGAAUGAUAAAGUACUGCAGAACAAGGUAAGCUGAACAUUCAUCAACAGUACAAAAUUUCUGAUGGCAAGAGCUACAAAUAACUUACAGGAAACAUGAAAAUAAAUUGUUUAUUCAAGAGUACUUCCUGUGGCUCUGCAGCUCAUCCAGGUGGACAAGCUCUAUUUUUCACAGAACAUUCAUCUCUGUUUCUCUUAGUUUGGAUUUCUCAUCAACAGAUUACCCAAGCCAAGAUUCAAGUGUAAGUUUUGUAAACAAGUAAAUCAGGACUCACACUUUCUACUGAACAGAAAGAAAAAAGCUAAACCAGUAGGUGUUAUGUAAAGCCCAACAGAUGGAUAAGGGUGCAAGUUUACAUUGUUAUCUUUGGCCAUAUUUGACAGAAGGAAAAAUAGGAAGCACUGCUAUCAGACCUGCUCUGCCACAUCUACCUCGCCAGUAUCAAUUGCCCCAGUGGCACACUAAGAUAAAUUCUCAUUUCCCACCUGUUUUCUUUUCUGGGUUAGGGUUAUUUUGGACAUGCCAAAGUCAAAAUCGUGCCUAUUAGAGUAUUUCUAGCAGUGAUGCCCACCUAUCAUACACCCAGGUCUUUGACACUCUGACUGACUACAGAGGGGAAAAAAUCACCUUUUGAUACAGCACUGACUUUUCUACCAAAGGAGACAGACACACUGUACAUUAUAAUUGUCUGAACUGGCACUCAGAGACAGAGCUCUGAGUGAGGUGCUACAAAUCUAAAAGUUUAGUGUUUUUUGUUUGCUUCAAAGCAUUCACAGACAAGUACUAGCUUGUUUGAAAACUGCCAUUCUGUAUACCAUGUAAAUAGCUUUCAGAUUAUAGAUUCAUGUGCACUUGUAUGAAUAUUACUUAUGGGGCACAGAUUUGUCAUAUAAAUUGCAUGGUUUGUAUUUUUUUCCCAUAUGGAGAGGAAAACAUUGGGCAAAGGAAUAAAUGGAUGAUGGGUAACAGUGUGUGAUUGUCAUCACUUAGAACAGUUCUGGGAUUUCAAGACAUCCAGUGUUCAUCUGAAAAUAUGCAAAUACUAAUCAGAGCUGCUCUGCACUUCUUCCUGAUGUGCAGCUGAAUCCUUCUGAAUGGCAGCUUUUUCACUCACAAAAGUAGGCAGAUGCUUUUUUCGCUUUUUUUCCUUUCAGUUCAACCAGAUUAGCUGAAAAAUUAGCAUUGGGCUUCCUAAGUGGAUGUCUCCACAUCUCAUCCAUUUUCUCUUGAGCAAAUGCAAAUUACAUUGAGCCCAUUUCAGAUAAAUAUAUUCAUCUAUAAGAGACAGAAUACAUAUGUGAAUGUCAUCUAAACCAUUUUGUAUUGUUCUGCAGGUUCUUGGAAGUCUCACAAGGGAAAACUACAGCAAUUUAAUACCUUUUGAAACUAUUAUCAUUAGUUGAAUGUAUUGCCUGAUAGUGGUUUUAAAGCAACAGUGAAAGGAGGUGAUUUACAAACUGUUUUGAGGCUUCCUCCAUUCCAGAGCACAAUCCUUAAACAGAUAAGCAUCCUCUUUUAAUUUUUACUUAAACAUGGAAGUCUGCCAGGUCUGACAAGUGCAGUCUGAACUGUGAUCCCACUGUGGUUCCUACACUGAUGUUGUGAUGAAUUCAGAGUCAGUGGUACCAGCAGACCACAAAGUUAGCAGUCUAUGCUGCAGUUUUCAAAGGAUCACAAGGAUCACAGAGGAUCUUCUGCAUUUUCUGCAGAAGAAAACUAAUACAAAACCUGAUUUAAGACUCAUAUUUUGGCAAAAGGCUACAAAAAAAAAAGUGGUGUCCAUAUACAUAUUAUGGAUAUAAAAGAAAUAACUUUGUCUUAUCCUAAAUUCUUGGAAAAACCUCAGCUGCUCAAUCUUCAGGAUUCAGAGCCCCUGCAUUCCAGCAGGUGGUCUUGGUUAGAUUAGGAUGCAGUAACUAACACGUUCUUAGGAGGAUUUCUCUUCACAGCACUUUCUACAACUGCAAAAAAGUAAAGAGAAUACUUUGAUUUGCAUUUCAUAAACCCUUUACUGAAUUUUUGUUGCUUACACUUGAAGUCCUAAUGCUUCAGUUGUUAAUAAGAGAAGUCCUUAAAGUGGGGAUGAUAGAAUUUGUCCUGUCACAAAUGUGUUAGGGUCAAAGUGAGGGACUAUGGAAAAGAGUGCCAGCUGGGAAACACCAACUCAGAUUAUGCAUCAUCUAGAUAAGUGAACCCAUCUGAUAAUUCUUAACAUUCUGAAGAAUAAACUCUUAUUAAAUACUAAAGGAAGGUAAUUCUCGGUGCAGCAAUUUAUAAAACCUUAGACUUAAGUUAGCAAGAUGGAUGUGGGAAGUACACAGUAAAAAUAAUGACAUUUGCAAUGCUAUCUGGAAGCAGCAAGCAAAUUGAAAAGAAAUUCUAGACUCUCCAAAGGAGGUGUGGAGUAGGAGGGCUACAACAGGGCUUUGCACAGCUUGCUUGUUUUAAGUGCAAUUUAUAGAUCAUGAGGGCACCUGUUUUACUGGAAUAAUACAGAGGUCAGGGAAAUGCAGCUGCCUGAACAAAGCAGCCAUAGCUGACAGUUGGCUUUUAAGCAAAAUCCUUUUCAGGCCAUUGGCAAGUAAAGCAAUCUUAGACAUAAAGUAGUGUUGUUGAAUUAACACUAAAAGAAAUACUGUGCUACUCUGAAUGCAUUUUGAAAAAGCAGCAAUGAAAACGUGUCAAGGAUGUGUCCACUUAAAGCCUUAUUGUUGUAACACUUCUGUUGAGUGGAAACCCCAAGUGAAAUAGCCUAGGAAGUGACUAAAUGUGAAACCUUCAGUUUCCAGAUGGAAAUAAAACCAAAAAGGAAAUGUUUUGCCUUCUAAAGUGCAUUCAGUUGUGAUAACCUUGUCUUUCAUAACAGAAAGGAAGGAUUAAAGCAUCUCCCUCACAGACAAGAGUGGAAGCAGGCUGAAUUUUUGAGGAUCUUGCAAUACAAGAGGGGUUUUUAUAUCAUCAUUUCCUGUUGCAACAGGAGCACUUCCUCGUUGAAAAGAACCUGAAAUUCAGUACAAGCAGAAGCUGAGUUACCUGCUUUGACAUCAGCAAAGGUGAUUUCAUAGGGAGAACAGGAACACUGAGCCACUCAGUGGUGAUGAGCUGCAGUUGAGCUACAAAGGUUUUUUUUUUUUUUAAAAGCAGCUGAUUAUCAUGAUGCCAGAUGAAGCAAGGACUUCUACAGUAAUCACAGCAGCACAACUACUGAAGCUGCCCCAUCAGGAUGCAUGCAAGGAAAGGAGGACAAGGGCAAAAAAAACUAAUAGGUACUGAAAAAUUAUUUGUGAAAUGUUGACAAACAGCCUACAACCAUAACCACCAAACCCAUAUGCACUCCCACAAAGACAACAGGUAUCAUCAAGGAGCAAACUCCCAGCUGCUCUUGGUCUCUAAUCAAAAGAGCAGCAGCAAUACUAAUAAUAAAUAAUAACACAAAAUAAUAAUUACCAGAAGCAAUAGUCAUUUCUUAGAUGCUGAUUUAUUUUUUCUGCUCAGAGCACCAUCCAACAGUGGGAGGGCCCAUGGAGUCCCUCCAGCAAAUGAAGUGGUCUAAUGGUGAGAAACAAAACAAAUCGAGAAUAAAAUGUGUAAGAUUGUGAAAGAAUGGGUAAAUACAUAAAAACAGCUUUUCUAGUUAUUCAACUGACAGGCAGCUGUCCCCUGCAUGCUAGAAGGUGGAGAAUCAUCUAAUAAAGUCUUCCCUUCAUAGAAAGUUACCCAAAUGCUUAAGAAAUAGAACCAUACAGAAUCAUAUUUUUAUUUUAUCUGUAUUAUUAAUACAGAGUCAGGAGCAGCUGCUUAGCUUUUCCCAUAUCAAUCAAAACGGUGACAGUGACAGAGAAAUCCACACAUGGGACAAUUCACAUUCUACUUAAGUUAGUGAAAGUCAGGGGUUGGCAGCACUUUGUACAGCUCAGGCUUUUACAGUCCUCUUGCUGCUGGAAGGCUGCCAGGGAAAUGCCAUCAGGGGGGUUUGCUCUCAUACUGCAGGAUCUGCACUUUUGUAUCAGGUUAAGAGGAAGAGGAACAUGGCACUGCACUCUUCAUUAAAACAGCAGUGGUGAUGCCAGGGUAAGAACAAAGAAAAACUGAGAGACAUAAAAAAUGAGAGCUGAAAACUGUUAAUAUAAAAUGCUCACAAUGUUCACAGGACACUGAGCUGCUAUAAUAAACCUGUGCUGUAAGAGUAUGUGGCAAACAGUGGGCUAUGAUAUCCUCUUUUUGUCAGAGAAAGAUAGAAGGAAAUCAUCAUAAUCUAAUACAGAUGACAUCUUUGAUAAUUAUUUUUAAAAAGUAAAGUGUCAUUUAUCCAAACCCAGCAAAACAGUCUUACUUUAAAUGGCACAGUAGUCCUCAUGGGGGGAAAAAGAUUUAUUUUUCUCAGUUUACAGCUGUAGGAUUUGCAGAAAUACUCCACAGUAACUGCAUUUGAGGAGACCAAGUGGCUUUAUAUCCAGUAUUCUCAAACCCAUCAAAUAUUAAACUCCAUAAUGCUUUUGAAAAUGUAAGCCUGUAUAUAAUGUAUUGCACCUGUCUGCAC